This 339-nucleotide ribosomal RNA is filed under the name Triticum aestivum (bread wheat). RNAcentral's name for it is "partial small subunit ribosomal RNA". The record is from RNAcentral. Lineage: Eukaryota; Viridiplantae; Streptophyta; Magnoliopsida; Poales; Poaceae.
AUGCCCCCAACAACUUCUCAGGUGGCAGCGAUAUGGGUUGAAGGGAGCGACCCACAAAAUUGUUUUGGCAGGAGUGUUGUCGGUCUUGUUGGCACCAUCAUAGCCGGCGAGUCACGCGGUGAUCGAAUUGGCAAGAGAAUCGUGCUUCCACGUACGUUUGCUGGUGGUGAUCGUGACAUGCAGCGGAGGUUGCUUGAUGCGAUGGCAAUAGUCCAACGGUGGGGUAAACCAGAUUAUUUUAUCACAAUGACUUGCAAUCCGUAUUGGGAGGAGAUAACCCAAAAUCUGAUGCCUGGACAACUGCCACAAGACCAUCCCGACCUUGUGGCAAGAGUAUAG